AAGAAAAGUCGCCCCCGCUUUCCAAUUGGUAUAAGCCCAGCGGUCAGAGGGUUUAAGGCAUGGUAGUUUUGUAGGAAUUUAGCAUGGAUAAGCUUUAGCGCUCCAGUGAGUACAAACAACAAGACAAACGUGUAACGUCCGGAGGAAUUGGGGCAAGAACCCAUAUAAGUGUUUCUGUACCGUUACGGGAUCCGGCAUCAAGGCUAUCACGACGUCUAGGAUAAUCCACCACACCAGUCAUGAGGGGUUCAAAUAGCAACCAAAGUUGGCUGGCAUGUACGCUAGAUCACCGGGACAAAGGCGAAUGCCAGCAGUCGCGGUUAAAUUCACACGGGGACUUACGGGUUGAAAGGGGACCAGGACGGAAUUUUAUGCCUGACUGGAAACUGGGGAUGCUCGCAUGCCAGGUUAGAUUCAAUUCGACGGCAGAAGAGACAUUUAGACGCAGAAGAAAGCAAAGUUUCGGCAGUGUCAUGUUCAAUAAGGGGUGCAAUCCGUAGUUGAAUAAAGAGGGCCUUUAGACUCUGAUGGUUGAAGCUGUGAAAAUUGGAGAGUUAACCGGGAUUAGAGACCCCGCUAAUCCCAAUCGUGAAUUAUGCAUACUUCUCCAAUGGUAGGGGUCUCCUAAGAACCUUGACAUAUGAGAUAUUAAAGAUUGCAAGCUACCGUAUAAUUACGGGUACUACCAGGCCUGAAAGUUGAAGGGGUAGACGGCUUUCUGAAGUUAUAAUGGGGAGCUUGAUCUUUAAUCCGAUGACCCCCGUUUCACCUUACUCUGACUGGUGGUGGGCGGGCCAUGGCGGCACCUUAAAGACACUACCCAUCUCAGGUGUCAUAUCGCUGUCUAAAGCUUAUGAUGCGACCCAACAAAAAAUUAUGCUUGUUUCGUAAGAUUCCAAGUGCAUAUACUAUUUGGGGUUUGAUGCCCUAUAGUGCGAUCAGUGUGCGUGAACCUAACGAAAAGGGGGCACAUCUAGGAUUGACCAGCUCCCUCCAAGAAUUAAAGAUUCUUAGGAGUCUUAAGAAUGAGGACAAGUCGACAGGUCCCUUAUGUCAGAGGCCACGGUUGAGCUACUAAAAGCGUAUAUCAAGCAAACGAAAUGUGGUUGAAAUGGCCACAGGAAGCAGGACUUGUAAGUAAUAAGAUCCUUAGGACGGUCUUAUGAAUUCUAUACAACCGGGAAGUGUACUAACCGCCCAUCACUCGGGGAGAGAUCCCUGAUAAGUUGUAACAAGGUAGGCGUACGGGAACGUGUGCCUG
RNAcentral lists this ribosomal RNA (1261 nucleotides) under Lingula anatina. RNAcentral's name for it is "12S ribosomal RNA". The stretch from base 477 to 1261 matches the Rfam family "Bacterial small subunit ribosomal RNA". Lineage: Eukaryota; Metazoa; Brachiopoda; Lingulata; Lingulida; Lingulidae. The record is from RNAcentral.